RNAcentral lists this ribosomal RNA (275 nucleotides) under uncultured Singulisphaera sp. Its description in RNAcentral is "partial 16S ribosomal RNA". It matches the Rfam family "Bacterial small subunit ribosomal RNA", at positions 338 to 612 of the family's 1533-position model. The record is from RNAcentral. Lineage: Bacteria; Pseudomonadati; Planctomycetota; Planctomycetia; Isosphaerales; Isosphaeraceae.
CCUACGGGGGGCUGCAGUCGAGAAUCUUCGGCAAUGGGCGCAAGCCUGACCGAGCGACGCCGCGUGGGGGACGAAGGCCUUCGGGUUGUAAACCCCUGUCGAGGGAGAACAAGGCAUCAUGAAGAAUGAUGCUCGAGUGACCCCUGGAGGAAGCACGGGCUAAGUUCGUGCCAGCAGCCGCGGUAAGACGAACCGUGCGAACGUUAUUCGGAAUCAUUGGGCUUAAAGGGCGCGUAGGCGGGCAGGCGCGUCGGAGCUGAAAUCCCCCGGCUCAA